AGAGUUUGAUCCUGGCUCAGAACGAACGCUGGCGGCAUGGAUUAGGCAUGCAAGUCGAACGGGAUCCUGAAUGUUCAAGUAGCAAUAUGAGAAUAUUCAGGUGAUAGUGGCGAAAGGGUGAGGAAUACGUGAGUAACCUGCCCCCAAGUUGGGAAUAGCUCCGGGAAACUGGAAUUAAUACCGAAUGUGGAACAUCUCUCGCAUGAGGGAUGCUCUAAAGAUUUAUUGCUUGGGGAGGGGCUCGCGUCCCAUCAGCUAGUUGGCGGGGUGAUAGCCCACCAAGGCGACGACGGGUAGCUGGUCUGAGAGGAUGGUCAGCCACACUGGGACUGAGAUACUGCCCAGACUCCUACGGGAGGCUGCAGUCGAGAAUCUUCCGCAAUGCGCGAAAGCGUGACGGAGCAAUGCCGCGUGAGGGAUGAGGGUCUUCGGAUUGUAAACCUCUGUCACCGGGGAGGAAUAAAUGACUGUACCCGGAGAGGAAGCCACGGCUAACUACGUGCCAGCAGCCGCGGUAAUACGUAGGUGGCGAGCGUUGUUCGGAUUUAUUGGGCGUAAAGGGUCCGCAGGGGGCCUGUUAAGUCUGAUGUGAAAUCCCGAAGCUCAACUUCGGAAUUGCAUUGGAAACUGGCGGGCUAGAGCAUCGGAGAGGAGAUUGGAAUUCCAGGUGUAGCGGUGGAAUGCGUAGAUAUCUGGAAGAACACCGAAGGCGAAGGCAGAUCUCUGGACGAUUGCUGACCCUCAGGGACGAAAGCGUGGGUAUCAAACAGGAUUAGAUACCCUGGUAGUCCACGCUGUAAACGUUGUGAACUUGACGUGGGGGGUUUCCUCCGUGUCGGAGCUAACGCGAUAAGUUCACCGCCUGGGAACUACGGCCGCAAGGCUAAAACUCAAAGGAAUUGACGGGGGCCCGCACAAGCGGUGGAGCAUGUGGCUUAAUUCGAUGCAACGCGAAGAAUCUUACCUGGGUUUGACAUGCAGGGAUUAUUCCGGUGAAAGCCGGUUGAUUACCGCAAGGUGUAACCUGCACAGGUGCUGCAUGGCUGUCGUCAGCUCGUGCCGUGAGGUGUUCGGUUAAGUCUGGCAACGAGCGCAACCCGUGCUGUUAGUUGCAAACAGGUAAAGCUGUGUUCUCUAACAGGACUGCCCGUGUUAAGCGGGAGGAAGGCGCGGAUGACGUCAAGUCCGUAUGGCCUUUAUACCCAGGGCUGCACACGUGCUACAAUGACCGGUACAAUGGGACGCAAGACCGCGAGGUGGAGCAAAUCCUUAAAACCGGUCCCAGUUCAGAUUGCAGUCUGCAACUCGACUGCAUGAAGUUGGAAUCGCUAGUAAAGGCGUAUCAGCCACGACGCCUUGAAUACGUUCCCGGGCCUUGUACACACCGCCCGUCACAUCAUGGAAGCUUAUUGCACCCGAAGUAGCUGAUUCUACCCGCAAGGGGGAUAGGUUCCUAAGGUGUGGUCAGUGGCUGGGAUGAAGUCGUAACAAGGUAACC
RNAcentral lists this ribosomal RNA (1498 nucleotides) under uncultured bacterium. RNAcentral describes it as "16S ribosomal RNA". It matches the Rfam family "Bacterial small subunit ribosomal RNA". The record is from RNAcentral.